UGUGUGUUAGUGGAAGCGUCUGGAAAGGCGCGCGAUACAGGGUGACAGCCCCGUACACAAAAAUGCACAUGCUGUGAGCUCGAUGAGUAGGGCGGGACACGUGGUAUCCUGUCUGAAUAUGGGGGGACCAUCCUCCAAGGCUAAAUACUCCUGACUGACCGAUAGUGAACCAGUACCGUGAGGGAAAGGCGAAAAGAACCCCGGCGAGGGGAGUGAAAAAGAACCUGAAACCGUGUACGUACAAGCAGUGGGAGCACGCUUAGGCGUGUGACUGCGUACCUUUUGUAUAAUGGGUCAGCGACUUAUAUUCUGUAGCAAGGUUAACCGAAUAGGGGAGCCGAAGGGAAACCGAGUCUUAACUGGGCGUUAAGUUGCAGGGUAUAGACCCGAAACCCGGUGAUCUAGCCAUGGGCAGGUUGAAGGUUGGGUAACACUAACUGGAGGACCGAACCGACUAAUGUUGAAAAAUUAGCGGAUGACUUGUGGCUGGGGGUGAAAGGCCAAUCAAACCGGGAGAUAGCUGGUUCUCCCCGAAAGCUAUUUAGGUAGCGCCUCGUGAAUUCAUCUCCGGGGGUAGAGCACUGUUUCGGCAAGGGGGUCAUCCCGACUUACCAACCCGAUGCAAACUGCGAAUACCGGAGAAUGUUAUCACGGGAGACACACGGCGGGUGCUAACGUCCGUCGUGAAGAGGGAAACAACCCAGACCGCCAGCUAAGGUCCCAAAGUCAUGGUUAAGUGGGAAACGAUGUGGGAAGGCCCAGACAGCCAGGAUGUUGGCUUAGAAGCAGCCAUCAUUUAAAGAAAGCGUAAUAGCUCACUGGUCGAGUCGGCCUGCGCGGAAGAUGUAACGGGGCUAAACCAUGCACCGAAGCUGCGGCAGCGACGCUGAUGCGUUGUUGGGUAGGGGAGCGUUCUGUAAGCCUGCGAAGGUGUGCUGUGAGGCAUGCUGGAGGUAUCAGAAGUGCGAAUGCUGACAUAAGUAACGAUAAAGCGGGUGAAAAGCCCGCUCGCCGGAAGACCAAGGGUUCCUGUCCAACGUUAAUCGGGGCAGGGUGAGUCGACCCCUAAGGCGAGGCCGAAAGGCGUAGUCGAUGGGAAACAGGUUAAUAUUCCUGUACUUGGUGUUACUGCGAAGGGGGGACGGAGAAGGCUAUGUUGGCCGGGCGACGGUUGUCCCGGUUUAAGCGUGUAGGCUGGUUUUCCAGGCAAAUCCGGAAAAUCAAGGCUGAGGCGUGAUGACGAGGCACUACGGUGCUGAAGCAACAAAUGCCCUGCUUCCAGGAAAAGCCUCUAAGCAUCAGGUAACAUCAAAUCGUACCCCAAACCGACACAGGUGGUCAGGUAGAGAAUACCAAGGCGCUUGAGAGAACUCGGGUGAAGGAACUAGGCAAAAUGGUGCCGUAACUUCGGGAGAAGGCACGCUGAUAUGUAGGUGAAGUCCCUCGCGGAUGGAGCUGAAAUCAGUCGAAGAUACCAGCUGGCUGCAACUGUUUAUUAAAAACACAGCACUGUGCAAACACGAAAGUGGACGUAUACGGUGUGACGCCUGCCCGGUGCCGGAAGGUUAAUUGAUGGGGUUAGCGCAAGCGAAGCUCUUGAUCGAAGCCCCGGUAAACGGCGGCCGUAACUAUAACGGUCCUAAGGUAGCGAAAUUCCUUGUCGGGUAAGUUCCGACCUGCACGAAUGGCGUAAUGAUGGCCAGGCUGUCUCCACCCGAGACUCAGUGAAAUUGAACUCGCUGUGAAGAUGCAGUGUACCCGCGGCAAGACGGAAAGACCCCGUGAACCUUUACUAUAGCUUGACACUGAACAUUGAGCCUUGAUGUGUAGGAUAGGUGGGAGGCUUAGAAGUGUGGACGCCAGUCUGCAUGGAGCCGACCUUGAAAUACCACCCUUUAAUGUUUGAUGUUCUAACGUUGACCCGUAAUCCGGGUUGCGGACAGUGUCUGGUGGGUAGUUUGACUGGGGCGGUCUCCUCCUAAAGAGUAACGGAGGAGCACGAAGGUUGGCUAAUCCUGGUCGGACAUCAGGAGGUUAGUGCAAUGGCAUAAGCCAGCUUGACUGCGAGCGUGACGGCGCGAGCAGGUGCGAAAGCAGGUCAUAGUGAUCCGGUGGUUCUGAAUGGAAGGGCCAUCGCUCAACGGAUAAAAGGUACUCCGGGGAUAACAGGCUGAUACCGCCCAAGAGUUCAUAUCGACGGCGGUGUUUGGCACCUCGAUGUCGGCUCAUCACAUCCUGGGGCUGAAGUAGGUCCCAAGGGUAUGGCUGUUCGCCAUUUAAAGUGGUACGCGAGCUGGGUUUAGAACGUCGUGAGACAGUUCGGUCCCUAUCUGCCGUGGGCGCUGGAGAACUGAGGGGGGCUGCUCCUAGUACGAGAGGACCGGAGUGGACGCAUCACUGGUGUUCGGGUUGUCAUGCCAAUGGCACUGCCCGGUAGCUAAAUGCGGAAGAGAUAAGUGCUGAAAGCAUCUAAGCACGAAACUUGCC
This 2487-nucleotide ribosomal RNA is filed under the name Escherichia coli. RNAcentral's name for it is "partial 23S ribosomal RNA". It matches the Rfam family "Bacterial large subunit ribosomal RNA", at positions 323 to 2798 of the family's 2925-position model. Lineage: Bacteria; Pseudomonadati; Pseudomonadota; Gammaproteobacteria; Enterobacterales; Enterobacteriaceae. The record is from RNAcentral.